UUCUGGUCUGUGCGUACGUUCGUCCGUUCGUCUGUUUGUUUGUCCGUUUGUCCAGCUUCAAGUUAAAUAAAAUUGAAACUUAGUACACAUUUUCCCUAUGGUAUGAUCUUUUUAAUUCUAAAGCCAAAUAACAGUUUUAUCCCAUUUUCAUAGUCCACUAAACAUAGAAAAUGAUAGUGUAGAUGAGGCAUCCGUGUACUAGGGACACAUUCAUGUUUCUUCAAAUUUUCGUCGUAUCGCUGUCAAUUUGUG
RNAcentral lists this long non-coding RNA (252 nucleotides) under Mytilus galloprovincialis (Mediterranean mussel). Lineage: Eukaryota; Metazoa; Mollusca; Bivalvia; Mytilida; Mytilidae. The record is from RNAcentral.